RNAcentral lists this ribosomal RNA (207 nucleotides) under uncultured bacterium. RNAcentral's name for it is "partial 16S ribosomal RNA". It matches the Rfam family "Bacterial small subunit ribosomal RNA", at positions 568 to 774 of the family's 1533-position model. The record is from RNAcentral.
UGCGUAGGCGGUGCGGAAAGUCGGGUGUGAAAUCCCCCAGCUCAACUGGGGAAUUGCGCCUGAAACUACCGUGCUCGAGGAAGACAGAGGUACGCGGAACUUAGGGUGGAGCGGUGAAAUGCGUUGAUAUCCUAAAGAACACCGGUGGCGAAAGCGGCGUACUGGGUCUUAUCUGACGCUGAGGCACGAAAGCUAGGGUAGCGAACG